This 1102-nucleotide long non-coding RNA is filed under the name Homo sapiens (human). Its description in RNAcentral is "synapse stability regulating cerebellar lncRNA". The record is from RNAcentral. Lineage: Eukaryota; Metazoa; Chordata; Mammalia; Primates; Hominidae.
GGCGCGCGCCCGCGUCCGCGCACUGAGAGUCGCCUCGGCCGCUCGCUUUCUCGACUCCCGCCUCGCGCCUCGAUCCUGUUCCGCCUCCCUCGGCCCUCCUGCCCGCCCCCACUCGUCGGCCCUCAGGUUCCUGGAAAGUGAAAAUUUCAUUUCUUUGUGGACAGCUCAGAGACCUAAUAGGAUGGGGUCUUAGAGAAACAUCUUUUGAGCCACAGACUUCUUUGUUACCAGAAGGAAAAUGAAAGAAGAAAUUUAAAUACCACUUGAAGAGAGGUGAGAACCCUUUGUUAAGCUGUGUAACCUCUGUGCAUAGUUUCCUCAUCAGCAAAGUCAGAAAAAGUAUGUACCUGAAGGACUGAUUGUAAGGCUGGGAUGAGAGAAUCCAUGUGAUCAGCCCUCACCAACAGGUGCUGCCCAGUUCAUGAGUGCUGCUGCUGUCCUGCCCAAGUACCCAGCUUGCAGAGUGCCAGAGUUAGAGUCCCAGGGGUGUUCUCCACAGCUGCAUGCUUGAUCCAGGCCUAUCAGGUGUUAUUUGUUGACGGAACCAGGCAUCAUCAGCAAACAAAACUGACAAAGCUUCCUGCCCUCUGUGGAAGGCAUCUGAGGAAGAGACUGGAUUUUGUAGCAACAUGUUAUUCUCAUUAUAAACUUUAUCAUUGGAAUACUAAAGCCAAAUCAUCCCCCAUCUCCUUGAUCAGGAUACCCACUUAAUCUAGGCAGCUACACAAUUGUGAGAGCCUUUGUUUUUUUCUGCUGAAACAUCCUUAAAAAGAUACCUCACAACCCAAGAUUUGGCUUUUCUUAAAUACGAUUUUUAAUUUUUUUCAUUUCUAUCUAGAGAUUUAAUUGGAAAUGGAAAAUCAUCAAUUUUCCAAUUAAAUGUCUGUUCCAAUCAACAUUAUACCUUUUAGGUUGUCAUUGUCAUUUUUAAGUUUAAGCAACUUUAAGGAUUUUGAAUCUGGCUGCCUGUAAAUUAAAGGUGAAAGUAAUCAUUGUGUUGGAUUGGAACAUUUUGUCAAUUGAGAGUGGUUUCCUUGUUCUUAGUGUAUGAAAAGUUUAUUUUUCUAAUGUAGAUUAAUAAAGGAGAUAAAGAAAAACAAAA